RNAcentral lists this long non-coding RNA (566 nucleotides) under Nicotiana benthamiana. Its description in RNAcentral is "long non-coding RNA (NBEN_LNC030731)". Lineage: Eukaryota; Viridiplantae; Streptophyta; Magnoliopsida; Solanales; Solanaceae. The record is from RNAcentral.
CACGAACCAGGCGACCCCAACGACCGCUGCUUCUUCUUCAUUUUCUACACCAGCGACCCCUCACCAUUUACGUCGACCACCUGAAAUACCAAACGACCCUUGAACCCUAAACAUGAAAACCGGUCCAGCCCAUCGUUGCUGCCUCCUCGUCCGCCAUUGACGUCUCCCUCACGUCCUACUGCUGCUUCACCUCCUCCACGACGACCAGCAGCUCGUCAGAAAAUGAACAACAGUAGCCGCGUCUCGGUCAGGUUUAAAUUCUGCUAUAGCCCGUUCAAUUUCUUCGAGGUCCGGUGCGUCAAAGUCGUCAACUGUAGCUUUGCCGGAUGUUUCUUAUUCUUUGUUUCAAAAACGUAUUGCUCUAUAAAGGUCCCGUCCUUUUCUCUUCCUUUGAAUCUCUUAAUUUUAUUAUGUGAAUUUGUUGACAUGCUUCUAAUGAUGUUAUGAUUUUGAAGAAAUAUGAAGUUCAUCUAUAUGUAAUUGUUGAAAAUUCAGGACUGUGAUUUGAUUUGUAUUGUCUUAUGACUCAAUUAAAUGAAAGAGUGAAGCAAUGAAUUAAGUUGAAC